UUAAGCGAAUAAGCGUACACGGUGGAUGCCUAGGCAAUCAGAGGCGAUGAAGGACGUGCUAAUCUGCGAUAAGCGUCGGUAAGGUGAUAUGAACCGUUAUACCCGACGAUUUCCGAAUGGGGAAACCCAAUAUCCAAUGGAUAUUAUCAUGACGUGAAUACAUAGCGUCAUGAAGCGAACCGGGAGAACUGAAACAUCUCAGUACCCCGAGGAAAAGAAAUCAACCGAGAUUCCCCUAGUAGCGGCGAGCGAACGGGGAACAGCCCAGAGUCUUAAUCAACAGCAGCAUCAGGAGAACGGUCUGGAAAGUCCGGCAGUAAAGGGUGAUAGCCCCGUAUCUGAAGAUGCUGUUAUUGUGAACUCGACGAGUAGGGCGGGACACGUGUUAUCCUGUCUGAAUAUGGGGGGACCAUCCUCCAAGGCUAAAUACUCCUGAUUGACCGAUAGUGAACCAGUACCGUGAGGGAAAGGCGAAAAGAACCCCGGCGAGGGGAGUGAAAAAGAACCUGAAACCGUGUACGUACAAGCAGUAGGAGCCUCUUUAUGGGGUGACUGCGUACCUUUUGUAUAAUGGGUCAGCGACUUAUAUUCUGUAGCAAGGUUAACCGUAUAGGGGAGCCGUAGGGAAACCGAGUCUUAACUGGGCGAAUGAGUUGCAGGGUAUAGACCCGAAACCCGGUGAUCUAUCCAUGGGCAGGUUGAAGGUUGGGUAACACUAACUGGAGGACCGAACCGACUAAUGUUGAAAAAUUAGCGGAUGACUUGUGGAUGGGGGUGAAAGGCCAAUCAAACCGGGAGAUAGCUGGUUCUCCCCGAAAGCUAUUUAGGUAGCGCCUCGUGAACUCAUCUUCGGGGGUAGAGCACUGUUUCGACUAGGGGGUCAUCCCGACUUACCAACUCGAUGCAAACUGCGAAUACCGAAGAAUGUUAUCACGGGAGACACACGGCGGGUGCUAACGUCCGUCGUGAAGAGGGAAACAACCCAGACCGCCAGCUAAGGUCCCAAAGUCAUGGUUAAGUGGGAAACGAAGUGGGAAGGCUCAGACAGCCAGGAUGUUGGCUUAGAAGCAGCCAUCAUUUAAAGAAAGCGUAAUAGCUCACUGGUCGAGUCGGCCCGCGCGGAAGAUGUAACGGGGCUAAACCAUGCACCGAAGCUGCGGCAGCGACACUAUGUGUUGUUGGGUAGGGGAGCGUUCUGUAAGCCUGCGAAGGUGUACUGUGAGGUAUGCUGGAGGUAUCAGAAGUGCGAAUGCUGACAUAAGUAACGAUAAUGCGGGUGAAAAACCCGCACGCCGGAAGACCAAGGGUUCCUGUCCAACGUUAAUCGGGGCAGGGUGAGUCGACCCCUAAGGCGAGGCUGAAAAGCGUAGUCGAUGGGAAACGGGUUAAUAUUCCCGUACUGGUGGUAACUGCGAUGGGGGAACGGAGAAGGCUAGGUUGUCCGGGCGACGGUCGUCCCGGUUCAAGCAUGUAGGCAGAGUGAUUAGGCAAAUCCGGUCACUUAAUGCUGAGGUGUGAUGACGAGCCACUAAGGUGGUGAAGCAAUUGAUGCCCUGCUUCCAGGAAAAGCCUCUAAGCUUCAGGUUACCAACAAUCGUACCCCAAACCGACACAGGUGGUCAGGUAGAGAAUACUCAGGCGCUUGAGAGAACUCGGGUGAAGGAACUAGGCAAAAUGGUGCCGUAACUUCGGGAGAAGGCACGCUGGCGGUAAGUGAAGUCCCUUGCGGACGGAGCCGAAGCCAGUCGAAGAUACCAGCUGGCUGCAACUGUUUAUUAAAAACACAGCACUGUGCAAACACGAAAGUGGACGUAUACGGUGUGACGCCUGCCCGGUGCUGGAAGGUUAAUUGAUGGGGUUAUCCGUAAGGAGAAGCUCUUGAUCGAAGCCCCAGUAAACGGCGGCCGUAACUAUAAACGGUCCUAAGGUAGCGAAAUUCCUUG
RNAcentral lists this ribosomal RNA (1943 nucleotides) under Proteus vulgaris. RNAcentral's name for it is "bacterial LSU rRNA". It matches the Rfam family "Bacterial large subunit ribosomal RNA", at positions 1 to 1971 of the family's 2925-position model. The record is from RNAcentral. Lineage: Bacteria; Pseudomonadati; Pseudomonadota; Gammaproteobacteria; Enterobacterales; Morganellaceae.